CUCAGAAUCAACGCUGGCGGCGUGCCUAACACAUGCAAGUCGAACGAGAAAGUGGAGCAAUCCAUGAGUACAGUGGCGUACGGGUGAGUAACACGUGACUAACCUACCCUCGAGUGGGGAAUAACCUCGGGAAACCGGGGCUAAUACCGCAUAACAUCUUCGGAUCAAAUGCGUAAGCAGCUUGAGGAGGGGGUCGCGGCCGAUUAGCUAGUUGGCGGGGUAAUGGCCCACCAAGGCAAUGAUCGGUAGCCGGCCUGAGAGGGCGCACGGCCACACUGGAACUGAAACACGGUCCAGACUCCUACGGGAGGCAGCAGUGGGGAAUUUUGCGCAAUGGGGGAAACCCUGACGCAGCAACGCCGCGUGGAGGAUGAAGCCCUUUGGGGCGUAAACUCCUUUCGAUCGGGACGAUUAUGACGGUACCGGAAGAAGAAGCACCGGCUAACUCUGUGCCAGCAGCCGCGGUAAUACAGAGGGUGCAAGCGUUGUUCGGAAUUAUUGGGCGUAAAGGGUGCGUAGGCGGUGCGGUAAGUCUGCUGUGAAAUCUCCGGGCUCAACCCGGAGCCUGCAUGAGAAACUGCCGGGCUUGAGUAUGGGAGAGGUGAGUGGAAUUUCCGGUGUAGCGGUGAAAUGCGUAGAUAUCGGAAGGAACACCUGUGGCGAAAGCGGCUCACUGGGCCAUAACUGACGCUGAUGCACGAAAGCUAGGGGAGCAAACAGGAUUAGAUACCCUGGUAGUCCUAGCCCUAAACGAUGACUGCUUGGUGUGACGGGUACCCAAUCCCGCCGUGCCGUAGCUAACGCGUUAAGCAGUCCGCCUGGGGAGUACGGUCGCAAGGCUGAA
RNAcentral lists this ribosomal RNA (844 nucleotides) under uncultured bacterium. RNAcentral describes it as "bacterial SSU rRNA". It matches the Rfam family "Bacterial small subunit ribosomal RNA", at positions 23 to 898 of the family's 1533-position model. The record is from RNAcentral.